This 451-nucleotide ribosomal RNA is filed under the name uncultured bacterium. RNAcentral describes it as "partial 16S ribosomal RNA". It matches the Rfam family "Bacterial small subunit ribosomal RNA", at positions 354 to 796 of the family's 1533-position model. The record is from RNAcentral.
GUGGGGAAUAUUGGACAAUGGGGGGAACCCUGAUCCAGCCAUGCCGCGUGUGUGAAGAAGGCCUUUUGGUUGUAAAGCACUUUAAGCGAGGAGGAGGCUACCGAGAUUAAUACUCUUGGAUAGUGGACGUUACUCGCAGAAUAAGCACCGGCUAACUCUGUGCCAGCAGCCGCGGUAAUACAGAGGUUGCAAGCGUUAAUCGGAUUUACUGGGCGUAAAGCGCGCGUAGGUGGCCAAUUAAGUCAAAUGUGAAAUCCCCGAGCUUAACUUGGGAAUUGCAUUCGAUACUGGUUGGCUAGAGUAUGGGAGAGGAUGGUAGAAUUCCAGGUGUAGCGGUGAAAUGCGUAGAGAUCUGGAGGAAUACCGAUGGCGAAGGCAGCCAUCUGGCCUAAUACUGACACUGAGGUGCGAAAGCAUGGGGAGCAAACAGGAUUAGAUACCCCUGUAGUCC